RNAcentral lists this unclassified non-coding RNA (177 nucleotides) under rhizosphere metagenome. RNAcentral's name for it is "partial ribosomal RNA internal transcribed spacer region". The record is from RNAcentral.
GAAUAACGCGUCGGUCUUCGCUUCGGCAAGGCCUUCGCACCCUCACAUCCAUAACACCUGUGAACCGUAAGAUGUGGUGACUUGUUGCCCAUCUGCCCUUUUUUAUAAACACUUGUAGUAACAAAAGUAGUCUUAUUAUAAUCUAAUAAAACUUUCAACAACGGAUCUCUUGGCUCU